Sapajus apella (tufted capuchin) is the source of this 3610-nucleotide long non-coding RNA. RefSeq lists it as uncharacterized. The transcript is spliced from 2 exons. The record is from RefSeq and is a predicted model, not a curated record. NCBI's taxonomy places the organism in Eukaryota, Metazoa, Chordata, Mammalia, Primates, Cebidae.
CAGGAGAAUUGCUUGAACCUGAGAGGUGGAGAUUGCAGAGAGCUGAGAUAACAGUACUGCACUCCAACUUGGGCAACAAAGCAAGACUCCAUCUUAGAAAAAAAAUUAAAAACAUAUAAAGAACCCUUCAUCCAACAUUUGAAGUGGGACAGCAUUUUAAGGGCAUGUAAAAUACUUAAGAUAAUUGACUGCAAUGAAAAUAUUUAAGAAAAUUGCACUAUAAACUCAGUAACAAAAACUAGAAGAAAACUUGUAUGUUUAGAAAUGAUGAAGCAUGCAUGCAAAUAAAUUGCAGGGCAAAGCAGACAAUAUGGGAAGUGUAAAAUAUUUAGAAAUAAAUAAUAAUGAAAAUAUUCUAUGUUAAAACUUAUGGGAUAUAGCUGAAUAGUACUUAGAAAUGUAUUGAAGAAAGGCUGGAAGUUAAUGAGAUGAAAGCAUCUGUGCUGUACUGUUCCCUGCUCAAGUUGGUUAAACUAGGAACUGUGUUUCCCAGAUUCUCUUUCCUUGUAUAAGAAGGCCAAAAGAUGAAUUUGUAGGAGACUGGUGGGUAGAAUAAAUGAAGCAGUUGCCUUUGUUUUCCAGAGGACUUCAGGGUGAAAUGAGAUGAUGAACAGAAAUAGAGGCAGAUGCAGGAAUAAAAGUGAUCUCUCUAAAGCACAGUGUGUGGGAAACAGGCUCUCCUUCAGGACAGCUAUUUUCAUCAAAUCAGCAAAUAAUUGUUGUGUACCUACUCUGUGCCAGAUGCUCUUCCAAGCCCAAGAGAUAACAUUGGUGAAUAAAACAGAGAGCCUUGUCUUCGUGAAGCUUACAUUGUAUGUGGAAAAUGAUAUUAAAACAUUAUUAAUUAACAAAUCCAUAAUAAACAAAGAUUUCUUGCUGUUACUGUUAGAGUAUCCAUUUGGAGAAAGCUGGAAAGGUAUAUAUGUGUUUAACAGUCCAAGAUGGAAAUUUGGGGAGGGGUGGAUGUAGAGGAGAGGAAAUCAUGCGUACCAAAGUGUGGGCUGGGAGGCCUUCAUAGGAUGGGCUUAGGGAAGGCUGUUGAGGGGUGCUCUGGGCCAGGGCAUGUGGCUAACCCUGCAGCGGGGAAUGAGUGCUGGGCCAGGGAGUUUAUAGACAGUGAUAAACCAUGAAGACCCAUCAGGGAUUUUUAACCUGGAAUAUGAUAUGAUCAGAGUGGAACUUUAGGAAUUUCAAUACGUUAGUGAUGCAAAAAGGAGUUAGAGGGGAAACUAGAUUAGAAGUUCUUGGAGAGAUCAGAUCAUUACAAAAUUUAGUUUAAAAAAAAAAAAAAAAUCCUGAAAGGAAUGAAUUGGAGCCAUCCUGUCCUUUAGUAAGUCUAUAUUGGGAACUUUUAAAAUUUGAUUUUUCAAAGUCUUAUUAACAUGCGGUACACGAAUUCUACAUGUACUUGACUGAUUUUUAACAAUUGCAUAUUUCAUCUAUAGCUCUGGUAAACACCAUGCAGAUCAAGAUACAGCACAUUGCCAUUGCCAGCACCUAUACUGGGGACUUUUGCCUCAAAGUGCAAUGUGAGCAGCAUUCACUAUAGGUUGUUUUAGGGAGGGAUGGUGAAGUCUAUGAGGUAAAUCCUACCUAGCGCCAGCCGUCUUUUCAGCUCUCCGGUCCAUCUCCCUCCCCUUCCUUCCUGAGCAGCCAGUUGCUACAUUAACCAGACAGCAGGAAGAAAGGCAGACUGUGUCUACCAGCGUCUGUACCUCUUCCUGCGUUAACUUUUUAAGUGGGAUACACCAGGCACAUUUACCCUAAUGGCCUCGAGCAUGAGAGAAUCACAUAUUAUACCAGGCCCUGGGUUUCCUAGAGGGAAAUGGCAGAAAUAUUUACAAGUAGCUUUAGUGUGGCCAGAACAUACCCAAACAGACGGCAAAUAGAGAUCCUGUCAGCGAGUGUACAAGGGGAGGCUUCACUGGGGCACGGCUGGGGAGCAAGGGCCCUAGGGGCAGUGUUUUUUGCCAUUCUCCCUCUCAAAAGUAAUUGUAAAGUGUUCUCUUCGUGUAUAUAGGAAGGGACUCGUUUUCUUUCCCGUGCUGGUGACUGCCUUGACAUACACUAGUUGAAUAUACGUGCAUCAGUUGUUAUAAAGGACAACUGGGAUUGGUUAAAUUUAAAAGGGUAUAUUCUUUUAAGUUAUAUCUCUUCAACUUCUAUAACAACUUACUAUGGGGUCAGUUUUAUGCUAGAGCAAAUAGGAGAAGUAUCCUAUUAAUAGAUAAAUGGUAUUGAUUGAGCAAGAGUGAUGACUGACUGAAAUUAGUGCUUUGUAUAUUUAAGUAGAUGUAGGAUUUUAUGCUCUGUGGGAAACAGAAUUUGAAGGUUAUGUUCUACUUCACUAAUUGGUUCAAGGCACAUUUACUUUCCAGAAUGAAGAUGGGAGGUGUAUACUUGGGGAGAUAUGCAAAGUGUGAAAUAGACAAGGAUUCCUACCUUAAUUGAAGACAUUGAAUUUUAAUCUGGGAAGGAGCAUAAAGACUAAUGGCUUCCCUUUUUUCUUUUUCUUUUUGCUUUAUUCAACAGUUUUUUAAAAAGAUUGAUGCAGAGCUGCUUGGCACAUGGGGUGGGAAAGGUGAGGACAGUUCCAGUAAGGCCCUCUAGCAACUUCUCAGUAUGAGUGGAUUCAGCCCAUAUCUUCUUAACCCCCUCCAGUUCUUUCCCUACAUUACCAAUCCUUUGCUCAAAAGCCAAGAGCUGGUGUUAUGAAAUUUAAGAAAAGCGAUUUCAUUUCCAACUCUUAUUAGUUGAAAUCUCUCUUUGGGAUCACAUUUAUUUUGGUUCUUUGGGAUACUUUUUGCCAUUAAUAGGAUGUAUGAAAAUACUAUUUUAUCUAUUGUUUUCUUAUGCUAUAUAGUAGAAUCAAUUUCUUCAAUUAUUUCCUGAGUACACUCCUGCAAAAGAUUUAUUCCUCCUAUCUGUGUAAUUGUCAUAGAGUUGGCAAGGAUGCAGAAAAAUUGGAAUGCUUGUGCAUUGUUUAUGGGAGUAAAAAACAGUACAGCCAUUAUGGAAAACAGUUCCCCUAAACGGAAACAAAACAUUAUAGAAAACAUGUUCCUUAAAAAACUGAAACUAGAAUUACCAUGUGAUUCAGCAAACCCACUUCUGGAUGUAUAUCCAAAAUAAUUCAAAGCAGAGUCUCAAGAGAGUUAUUUGCACACCCAUUCUUUACAGCAUUAUUUACAUAGCCAAGGAGUACAAGUGACCCAAGUAUCCAUCAACAGAUGAGUCAAUUAAGAAAGUGUGGUGUGUAAUUUCAGUGGAAUAUCAUGCAGAUGUAAAGAAGGAAAUCCUAUCACAUUACAGUAUUGCCAACCCUCGAGGACAAUAUGCUAAGCAAAAUAAGUCAGUCUCAAAAGGCCAUACAUGAGUCAAAGCAUAUGACAUAUCUAAAGUCAAAAUCAUAGCAACAAAGUAGAAAAGCAGUUGUCAAAGGCUAGGGGAGGGGAAAUUAGUAUUUAAUGGGUAUAGAGUUUCCAUUUUACAAGAUGGAAAAUUCUAGAGAUCUGUUGUACAACAAUAUGAACAUACAUAACACUGCUGAAUUAUAGACGUAAAAGUAGUGAAGAUGGUAAAUUUAAUAUUGUAUUUUUUACCACAAUUU